Molecule: non-coding RNA, 404 nt
Organism: Cricetulus griseus (Chinese hamster)
Lineage: Eukaryota; Metazoa; Chordata; Mammalia; Rodentia; Cricetidae
Source: RefSeq, a predicted model, not a curated record
UACCAGCUUCCCAGAGAGCUGUGGUAUCACCUGGACAGGCACUGUCUGCCAUUGUGAAACCACUCCUGCAAAAUACUCUUCAUAUGAUCUUAGAAGCCUUACAGAAAGUAUUUCCACAUGUGGAAGUUGGAACAAGCAAAACUUUAAAUUCAGAUGUUUCUUGCCCUUUGCUAGAAAGUGAUUUGGCAUACAGUGAUGAUGAUAUACCAUCGAUGUAUGAAAAUGGACUUUCUCAAAAACCCUUUAAUCAGGCAAAAGAAAAUUUAAAUUUCCUUCAUUUAAAUAGGUAUGUUUUCCUUGCAAAUGAAUGUUUUGUUGUGUAAAUUCCAUAAAAAAAUAAAGUGAAAUUUGUUUGACAAGGUAAAAGAUGCUAGCCAAUCAGCUUUUUACUUAGAAUAGCAGGG